This 900-nucleotide ribosomal RNA is filed under the name Pilidium concavum. RNAcentral's name for it is "partial large subunit ribosomal RNA". It matches the Rfam family "Eukaryotic large subunit ribosomal RNA", at positions 38 to 966 of the family's 3401-position model. Lineage: Eukaryota; Fungi; Ascomycota; Leotiomycetes; Chaetomellales; Chaetomellaceae. The record is from RNAcentral.
CCAUACAAUAAGCGGAGGAAAAGAAACCAACAGGGAUUGCCUCAGUAACGGCGAGUGAAGCGGCAACAGCUCAAAUUUGAAACCUGCCAACCGGCCGGAUUGUAAUUUGUAGAGGAUGCUUUGGAGUCAGCACUGAUCUAAGUUUCUUGGAACAGUACGUCACAGAGGGUGAGAAUCCCGUUCGUGGUCGGCUGCUGGCUUCGUGUAAAGCUCCUUCGACGAGUCGAGUUGUUUGGGAAUGCAGCUCAAAAUGGGUGGUAAAUUUCAUCUAAAGCUAAAUAUUGGCCAGAGACCGAUAGCGCACAAGUAGAGUGAUCGAAAGAUGAAAAGCACUUUGGAAAGAGAGUUAAACAGCACGUGAAAUUGUUGAAAGGGAAGCGCUUGCAAUCAGACUUGCGCGUAGGUAAUCAAGGGCGGUUCGCUGCCCUGCACUUGCCUGCGCUCAGGCCAGCAUCAGUUUUGGGGGUGGGAUAAAGGCCGUGGGAAUGUGGCUCUUCGGAGUGUUAUAGCCCUCGGUGCCAUGCCGCCUCCCGAGACUGAGGACCGCGCUUCGGCUAGGAUGCUGGCGUAAUGAUUGUAAGCGACCCGUCUUGAAACACGGACCAAGGAGUCUAACAUCUAUGCGAGUGUUUGGGUGUCAAACCCACACGCGGAAUGAAAGUGAACGGAGGUGAGAGCCCUUGAGGGUGCAUCAUCGACCGAUCCUGAUGUCUUCGGAUGGAUUUGAGUAUGAGCAUAGCUGUUGGGACCCGAAAGAUGGUGAACUAUGCCUGAAUAGGGUGAAGCCUAGAGGAAACUCUGGUGGAGGCUCGCAGCGGUUCUGACGUGCAAAUCGAUCGUCAAAUUUGGGCAUAGGGGCGAAAGACUAAUCGAACCAUCUAGUAGUGGUUCCUGCCAAUC